RNAcentral lists this ribosomal RNA (253 nucleotides) under uncultured bacterium. RNAcentral describes it as "partial 16S ribosomal RNA". It matches the Rfam family "Bacterial small subunit ribosomal RNA", at positions 524 to 776 of the family's 1533-position model. The record is from RNAcentral.
UACGAAGGGGGCUAGCGUUGCUCGGAAUCACUGGGCGUAAAGCGCACGUAGGCGGAUCUUUAAGUCAGGGGUGAAAUCCCAAGGCUUAACCUUGGAACUGCCUUUGAUACUGGGGAUCUCGAGUCCGGAAGAGGUGAGUGGAACUGCGAGUGUAGAGGUGAAAUUCGUAGAUAUUCGCAAGAACACCAGUGGCGAAGGCGGCUCACUGGUCCGGUACUGACGCUGAGGUGCGAAAGCGUGGGGAGCAAACAGG